Molecule: long non-coding RNA, 568 nt
Filed under: Brassica napus (rape)
Lineage: Eukaryota; Viridiplantae; Streptophyta; Magnoliopsida; Brassicales; Brassicaceae
Description: long non-coding RNA (BNAP_LNC000560)
Source: RNAcentral
AACAACUCCGUAUUCACUAGAAUCUAAUGAAGUUGAUGAACACAAAAAUGGAACUACAAAAGAGAUGAUGAAUGCAAUGUUGCUGGAAUCUGGAUUACCCCAUAACAUAUGGGGGGAAGCGUUGCUUACUACUUGUAACACCCUCGAUCUGGAAUAAAUAAAAUUUAAUUAGUUUGCCAUGCACCAAUCAAACAAGAACAUGCACGACGAACUAAAGAACUAACCAGAUCGAAGAUACUACUACCACGUGCCCGAACAUUUGAUCUGAGGUUCCCAGAUCAGAUCCGAAAUCCUAAGAUCAUAUGUCCAAGAACGGGUUUCUUAGCGAUUCCAAGUUAAGGCUUUGCAACUCGAGUUUGAAACCGUUAGUUAGUUCGUCCCGGACUAGGACUAGUAUCAUAUGGAAUCCAAGCAUUUCACAAACCUUUUCUUAUUCAUAUACUUUAAGUUCAACCACAUCAAAACUUUAUACAUGCUCGGCCGACGUUCAAAACCAUAUCUUACAUAUUACAAAACGUACAUGUUUGCAAAAGGUAGCAAAUCUACACCAACAGCUUUCUGCUCCUCC